UAGACAGGAGGUCCAAAAGUUCAUGAAAAUGUCAAACUCAGAGCAAAUAAGCAGCUUGAAAUCAAGGCUUUGAAUCAUGGGCUUUAGCAGAUGUUUGAUAUUCAAGUUGAAAUAGGAGAAAUAUAAUCCUACCUGGUUUGAUGGCAAAUUCAGCAAGUUGGUUGGCUCACAGCAUUGAAGAAUGAAGUCACAAAUCAAAAGAAGUUCAAAAAGUUUUCUUUAAAAAAAAAAAGACAGAAUAGCCCUGCCUUUGCAGGAGUGGUCUUCAGUGUUUAGGCCAUAGAUGUAUUGUCAGGGGUCAUUUAUACAGCAAAGUCAGAAUGUGAGUACAGUGUGGGUCUCAAACUACAAUCAACCUUUAAGCUUAUAGGUGCUUAACUAAUAUUAUUCAGAAGGGUAGCAAGGCACCCUGAAAAGGUAUGCAGAAAGAGCCAAGGCAUUUUGUGGGAAUAAAAGUCCAGUUGUUCUGGUCAUUGAGUAUGGUAAUAGAUGCCUAUCUGGACUUCCUGGGGAAGGUGGUGAUAACUGUAGUACAUUUCAAGCUAUUGUUUGUUAUAGCAUAGCUCUAUCCAUUGCACCUUAUUUCUGUUCUGUUUGACUGCACUGCCUCUCCUUUCCUCUUUCCCCCUUCCCCCUUCCUAUCUAUCUAGGUUAAGUUUCAAUUUCCUGAAGGGCCGUAAAAGCCUUAGUUUUCAGUUUCUUGUAACCCCCUUCCCUACCCGUGGUCUAUAAAAAAUGUGUUGUUCUUCAGACAAUGCUUAACUUCAAGGACAUUUCAGGAAGUUCUGUAAAGCCCAGAUGUGUCAGCAAUUACAACAUUCCUGCAGUUUCCAGCUUUAAAAGCCUCUCCCCCCAACUGUGAGGAGCAUGGUCUUUGGGUCGAUCCUAAGGAGACUGUGCCCCCAGGACUGGAAAUAAAGCCUUUGAUCCCCAUAUUUUAAUUUUUUGCUUCAUUGGAUUUUAUUCUGGGGUCUGAACUAUCACAUUUGGGGUCUUGUCUGGGAGGGGAGCAAGACCCCAGACUCAAUUCUGAACAUUUGAAAGUAAGUACUCUGGGGAGUUUGUUUGGGCCAUAGUCACUUUGUAUUUUUGUACUUUUGGAGGGGAUGCCCUCAAUUUGGGGUGCGGGGAUCUCCUGAGUCUGGAGUCAGUUGGCUUUUGCGAUGCACUCUGUCCAUUUGUGACUCUGCCUUACGUAGCGAACUGCACCAUUGGCUAGUUUGGUAAAUUCCUCCAGAAAUCCAGAAUUGAUUGACUUUUUGAGCAAAUGCCAUUUUUUGCUACAGCGUGUCAUGUCUUUUAUGUUUGGCUUUGUGUCUAUGUGGUCUAAUUGUCCUUUUGGUCACCUGACUGUGACAGAACAUUUUCUCCUAGGAACCACUUCUGCAAGCCAAAAGCCAGCCAGAGCAACUUUAACCAUUCUCUUCAUCUUAUUAAUAAUUGGUCAUUUCCUUCUGACCCUGUCUUUGUCUCUUAAAUUUCCUGACAGGAAAAGUAAACCAGCAGCAUUGUCAACCAUGGGUCAGACCAAGUCUUUUUCCAGUGCUCCCCUCGGCCUUGUGCUUGAUCACUUCAAACAAUUUAAGUGAUGAGCUGAGGGAUAUGGGGAAAAGGUCCAUAAGGCCAGAUUAACAACUUUUGUCACACAGGAGUGGCCAUUGGGGACCCAAGGGGUCUGGCCCCCUUCUGGAUCUUUUGACCUGGGAACUGCGCAGGCUGUUCACCAGUAUGUUUUUGGGCCCCCUGCUCAUCCUGACCAAAUUGUCUGUAUUCAGAUUUAGAUAGAUAUAAUCUAUGAUGCCCCCUCAUGGAUUAAGCCGUCUCAGGAUGGAGUUCUAGAAGCCCUCAAACUGAAAACAAAGGCUGAAGAGGAGGCACCUGGACACAAUGCACCUCCAGUUUUGCCUCCAAGUGAAGACUCUUCUGACCCACUAGACAUUCUUCCCUUGCCCCCUCCCCCGUACCCUGCCCCUAGUCCCCAUCCUGACUCACCACUCCUCCCCGCAUCAUCUUAUCCAAACCCACCACCACCCACGGCUGGAGGGACCUCCAGAACAAGGUCCCGAAGCAGCACCACUGUACCCUUUGCAGGAAGUCCCCACCCCCAAGAGGGGGCUCCAUGUUUCUGUACACUAACUCUGAUCUCUAACUGGAAAACUCAAAACCCCCCUUUCUCAAAGGACCCAGAAACUCUGAUUAACCUUAUAGAAUCUGUUUUCUCUACCCAUAGCCCCACUUGGGAUGACUGUUAGCAGAUCCUGUGCAUUCUUUUUAUGGUCAAGGGAAGAAUGCGUAUCUACACUUUAGGACAAAAGGGAGUUUGGGAUCUGGGUGGAUCUCUAUCCGCUCAUCAGCAGAGAUGUGAACGUCUGUUCCCUUCCUCUCAACCGGAAUAGGACCCCAACACGGAUGGAGGUAAGAAGGCUCUUGAUGAUUAUUGCCUGAGGCUCCUAGAUGCACUUUGUGCCACUGCUAACAAGUCUACCAAUCUGUCUCGAGUGAGUGAGGUAAGACAGUUAGCUGAUGAGUCUCCUGCUAUGUUCUUGGAGCACUUCCUAGAGGCCUACAGAUUACAUGCUCCAAUUUAUCCGUUGGCAUCUGAAAACACUCAAGUGAUUAACAUUGCUUUCGUGUCUCAGUCGGCCCCCCAUGUUAGGAAAAAGUUACAGAAACUUGAGGGAUUUGAAGGGAUGUCCCUCAGCCAGCUGAUAGAGAUAGCACAGAAGGUUUUCAACAAAAGGGAGACCCUACUAGAAGCCACAAAUAAAAAGAUGACUAGGAAUUGUUUGGUGUAAAAGAAGCUAAAAGAUUGACUAGCAUUGGGAAAAAGGAGAUUAAAGGCCAGUGGCCUCGUUUAGAUAAAGAACAAUGUGCAUAUUGCAAAGAGAUGGGACAUUGGCAUAAAGAUGGCCCAAAGUUAAAGGUCAAGCUAUAAAAAGAGACAAAGGCCCUGUUGUCUCAACAAUGAGGAGGUCAGGGAUCGACACCACCGCCCGGGCCCUGGAUAACUCUUCAAGUGGGAAAGCAACUGGUGGACUUCUUGGUCAAUACAGGAGUCACCUAUUCUGUGCUGACCCAACCUUUAGGAAAGCUAACCAAGAGUUCAGUCAAUGUAAUCAGAGCCACAGCGAGAUGAAAAUUGUACCCAAAAGUGACAGCUAGUUUUGCUUGACCUGGACAUAAACUGGUCCAAGAUGAUUUUCUAUCGGCUCCUGGGUGUCCAGACCCUCUCUUGGGACGAGAUCUCCUCCAUAUAUUGCAAGUGCAUAUUGACUUCUUUACACCUGAGCUAAGACUAAAACUGGGGGUGGAUACAAUUCUGGACUCAGAAGACAUCAGAGUGCUAGCUCUUUUCCCAGUAGGAGAAAAUUACCGCCUACUGGGAAAUUUGUCCAGUGUACCUGAGACAUUAUAAACUGACCUAGAAUUAAAAUUGUUAAGCAAAUGGAAGCAGGAAAUCCCAGAAGUUUGGGCAGAAACCAACCCCCCACCAGGGCUAGCAAUUAACCAGCUGCCCCUUGUGGUGGAGCUCCUACCCUAGGGACACCCCAUUUGCAACACCCGUUAAGACUACAAAGGGAUCAAAGCCUGAAAAUGGAUCAAAGUCCACAUUCAGAGAUUAGAGACAAUGGUAUCUUAAUUCCUUGUGUCUCUCCAAGGAAUACACCUCUACUUCUAGUCCAGAAGCCAGGACAAAUGACUAUUGUCUUGUACAGGAUCUCCAAGAGGGUAAUAGAUGAGUACUGACUCUACACCCAAUGGUGCCUAACCCUUAUACUCUUCUUUAGCCUCUUCAAUCCGGAGAACAACUGGUACUCUGUUUUGGACCUAAAGGGUGUGUUCUUCACUCUGCCCCUCACACAGGAGUUCCAAACUUGUUGAUCUACAGGCCGGAUCAAGUGGCGCUCAGCGUGGGGGCCCCUGGCACGGAGAAGUUAACGAGGGAGCCGUUCGAGAGACAGCCGGCUUAAACCAAAAGUGAAAGCAAAUUAAACCAGAGACCUCGGCCGAGGAAUGAGUAAACUAAAUCAAGGAUUAAAGUUUAAAACAACAGGACAUUAAAUCAAGUGCCGAGACCUGCGCAGACGACUACCCGACGUCCUGCCCGAGUCACGGUGACACAUCUCCUUAGAGCCUUAUGCUGCUUAACCAGCCUUCUUGAGCCACACCACACCCAUGGUGGAUUUUGACCCCUGCCAAACAGACUACAACUGCUGACAGCCAUGCACAAAACCCCAUGACUGUGGAAGAGGCUCUUCUCGGUCUAGAGGAGCAUACGCCAGCCAAAUAGACUACAUCCAGUGUUAUACAAGGCAUGCUCCAAGACACAGAAAAAUGACUUCAUACAGAGACACCAACAAAUGACUGUCAACCCCUUCUCCUUGAUUUUGGGGGGGGGGGAGUUUUUCCCUUACCUAGUCCCACUUUUGGGUCCCCUAGCUGACCUAUUGUUUCUCAUUUCUGUGAGUCUUUUUUUCAGAGGAUUAUGAUGUUCAUUAAUAACCAGAUAGACGCAUUUAUGGCAAAGCCCAUUCAGGUACACUACCAUCAGCUGGAGAUGACAGAUCAACAAACCUACAGGGAAGAAAUUCCCACGAGUGGCCCAUAUGAUGAUGCGGCCUGACUGCCCUGGGGCAAUGGACAGGCAGUCAGAGACGGGCAACUAGGACAUACAUGUUAAUUCCAACGGCCACCUAAGACAGACACAGGACCAACUGCUGUUCUACAAGCCCAUGACGGGUAAGGCCUGGUUGGGUUCAUACAAUGAGGUCCUUGACCUAAGACAUACGCUGUCCUCACAGGGCCUGCCAUACUCUUAAUUAAAUAAUAUAAAAAGGGAGGAGAUGUAGGGAGCUGAGUGACAGGCAUUGCUGCCUAGAUGUCUCUCUCUCUCUCUCCUAUGGGCACUGCGUCUGCCUACAUUAACCAUAAUCCUCUUCUGCUUACGUCACUUGUCCAGAUGUGAUGGUAACCCUGUUGUAUUCAUCUGUUUAACCUCUUCCUGUCCCAGCUCCCGCCCUUAGCCUAUAAAAGGUGUGAUUAUUUUCUCAAUAAACCGGAGGCUUGAUUGGGUUAACAUCAA
Cavia porcellus (domestic guinea pig) is the source of this 5083-nucleotide long non-coding RNA. RefSeq lists it as uncharacterized. The record is from RefSeq and is a predicted model, not a curated record. The transcript is spliced from 3 exons. NCBI's taxonomy places the organism in Eukaryota, Metazoa, Chordata, Mammalia, Rodentia, Caviidae.